UACGUAGGGGGCAAGCGUUGUCCGGAAUUAUUGGGCGUAAAGAGCGCGUAGGCGGUCCGAUAAGUCGGCUGUGAAAGUCAGGGGCUCAACCCUUGAAAGCCGGCCGAUACUGUCGGACUAGAGUCCGGAAGAGGCAAGUGGAAUUCCCGGUGUAGCGGUGAAAUGCGCAGAUAUCGGGAGGAACACCAAUGGCGAAGGCAGCUUGCUGGGACGGUACUGACGCUGAGAAGCGAAAGCGUGGGGAGCGAACAGG
This 253-nucleotide ribosomal RNA is filed under the name uncultured bacterium. RNAcentral's name for it is "partial 16S ribosomal RNA". It matches the Rfam family "Bacterial small subunit ribosomal RNA", at positions 524 to 776 of the family's 1533-position model. The record is from RNAcentral.